Molecule: ribosomal RNA, 253 nt
Filed under: uncultured bacterium
Lineage: Bacteria
Description: partial 16S ribosomal RNA
Rfam family: Bacterial small subunit ribosomal RNA
Source: RNAcentral
UACGGAGGAUCCGAGCGUUAUCCGGAUUUAUUGGGUUUAAAGGGAGCGUAGGCGGGUUAUUAAGUCAGUUGUGAAAGUUUGCGGCUCAACCGUAAAAUUGCAGUUGAUACUGGCAUCCUUGAGUACAGUAGAGGUAGGCGGAAUUCGUGGUGUAGCGGUGAAAUGCUUAGAUAUCACGAAGAACUCCGAUUGCGAAGGCAGCCUGCUGGACUGUAACUGACGCUGAUGCUCGAAAGUGUGGGUAUCAAACAGG